UCUUAUCAAGAGACAUAUGAAAUCCAUCAC
RNAcentral lists this non-coding RNA (30 nucleotides) under Mus musculus (house mouse). The record is from RNAcentral. Lineage: Eukaryota; Metazoa; Chordata; Mammalia; Rodentia; Muridae.